This 713-nucleotide long non-coding RNA is filed under the name Homo sapiens (human). RNAcentral describes it as "HSALNT0381493". Lineage: Eukaryota; Metazoa; Chordata; Mammalia; Primates; Hominidae. The record is from RNAcentral.
UCCUCUCUCUUCCCCUCCUACUCUCUCCCCCUCUCCCUCUUUCCUGUUUAAAGGACUCCUUUGGAGAUUGCAACAUACAUCCAGGAUUGAUGUUAAUUAACACCUUGGGCUUAGGGGUCAACGGAUCCAGACAAAGGCUCUGCCCAGUGACCACAUUAAGAUGGAACUGAAGGAAUGAAAAGGGACAAAGUCAAUGACAAUGAAGAAAAUCAGAAAAGACCAUCGACGACGAAUGAGAGACUUCCACAAAUUUAUGCAAGAGGAAAGGUGGGGAGAGACUUUCAUUUCUGGGAGUGCAGUAGAUUGAAUAUUCUGCAAGGUCCUGCUGCUAAAAACUGAAUCCUACAUAAAUUACAACCAACAUGACUUUAAAUGCCUUGCUGGGAUCAGAAGAAAGUGAGGGAAAUCUCCAAAAGCCAGAAGUCAAAAAAAAAAAGAAGGAAUGAAGGAGGAAAAGGAGGGAGAAAAGACAAAGAAAAAGAAAAAGUGAGCCAAACACAGAGGAGUAAGCAGUGAUCAGUAUGAAGAAAUUUCACCCUUCAUGUGGUAUAUGGUUCUAAAACCACCAAGAGAUGGAAUUGUGCAUAAUAAAAAGAACAGGACAUACAAGAAAGCUGGGAUUGGAGAAAACACUCCAAACCUGUAUAGUCUCAUAAAAAAUUUACUGAACUGUAAUAACAAAAGUAAAUAAACACAUACACAAAUGCUACUGC